CUGUGCAGUUUACUCUCUUGAGUGCCACAUGUGUGCCACAGAGUGCAUGUGGUGGUUCAGAGGACAAUGAACAG
Non-coding RNA from Peromyscus maniculatus bairdii (prairie deer mouse), 74 nucleotides. The record is from RefSeq and is a predicted model, not a curated record. NCBI's taxonomy places the organism in Eukaryota, Metazoa, Chordata, Mammalia, Rodentia, Cricetidae.